RNAcentral lists this ribosomal RNA (482 nucleotides) under uncultured bacterium. RNAcentral describes it as "partial 16S ribosomal RNA". It matches the Rfam family "Bacterial small subunit ribosomal RNA", at positions 30 to 507 of the family's 1533-position model. The record is from RNAcentral.
AUUGAACGCUGGCGGCAUGAUUUACACAUGCAAGUCGAACGGUAACAGGCCGCCAGGUGCUGACGAGUGGCGAACGGGUGCGUAAUGCAUCGGAACGUGCCCAGUCGUGGGGGAUAACUACUCGAAAGAGUAGCUAAUACCGCAUACGAUCUAUGGAUGAAAGCGGGGGACCGUAAGGCCUCGCGCGAUUGGAGCGGCCGAUGUCAGAUUAGGUAGUUGGUGGGGUAAAGGCUCACCAAGCCAACGAUCUGUAGCUGGUCUGAGAGGACGACCAGCCACACUGGGACUGAGACACGGCCCAGACUCCUACGGGAGGCAGCAGUGGGGAAUUUUGGACAAUGGGCGCAAGCCUGAUCCAGCAAUGCCGCGUGCAGGAAGAAGGCCUUCGGGUUGUAAACUGCUUUUGUACGGAACGAAACGGCUCUGGUUAAUACCCGGGGCUAAUGACGGUACCGUAAGAAUAAGCACCGGCUAACUACGUG